GCCUAGGUCUAUGCCAACAGGGCUUUUCCCACAGACGCUCGUCAUUGGAAACACCUCAUAGAAUAUUUCUGUGGUUUUGCUUUCCUCACAGGACUUUGUUUUAGGUCUGUGUGAAGGAAUUAUAAGAUAAUU
Molecule: small nucleolar RNA, 132 nt
Organism: Oryctolagus cuniculus (rabbit)
Lineage: Eukaryota; Metazoa; Chordata; Mammalia; Lagomorpha; Leporidae
Source: Ensembl